UUUAAGUGCAACCAUGAGUUUUCGCGUCCAACUUUGAUCGUCGGUUUUAUUUGAAAACUUUUUAUAAUUAAAACUUUUUAUAAUUAAUAUUUUUAUUGUUAUGAGAUCAUAAAACAUGAAUGGUACUUUACUCAUGACUUAUGUUUUUAAAUUGUUUUUAAAAAAUUAAAUAAGAUAGACGAUCAAAGUUGGAUAUGGAAAACCAUGGUUGUAUUUAAA
Non-coding RNA from Oryza glaberrima (African rice), 219 nucleotides. The record is from Rfam. NCBI's taxonomy places the organism in Eukaryota, Viridiplantae, Streptophyta, Magnoliopsida, Poales, Poaceae.